This is a long non-coding RNA of Psammomys obesus (fat sand rat), 2856 nucleotides long. RefSeq lists it as uncharacterized. Lineage: Eukaryota; Metazoa; Chordata; Mammalia; Rodentia; Muridae. The record is from RefSeq and is a predicted model, not a curated record. The transcript is spliced from 7 exons.
CAGGUAAUAUCUAGUGUUUCGUCUAAUAUAUUGUAAGAAAAAGUAGCCUGUAUGCCAUUAAAGACAAUACAAAUGUUAAUCCCAGAUCCAUACUCAGUUUGAGGUCAGACUUGCCUCAUACGUCCCUGUGUCAAAAGAAAACGUGAAAACAAGGAAAAACUGAACACCUCAAUCAAUGUAAAGAACGUAAGGAUUGUAGUUUAAGUUGAAUGUAAUUUAACAGUGAAAUAUCAUUUGUCUACAGAAGGGGGUUUGUUUUAUUUAAUUGAAAAAGGGACAAUUUGCCUACAUGUAGAUAUUUUAGUUCUUAACUAAAAUGGAUAAUUAAGAAAACCCUAAGUACACAUAUGGAGUAGCAUUCCGACAGUUAUUACUUUUGUAUACAAUGUGUGUUACUUUACAGUAAUGAUUGAAGAUUCGUUCAAGUGAACUAAACAGUGUAUACAUGCUUGGAACUUAUCACAUGAGACCAUCUAGAAUGGACAGUUAAUGCAAACAAAGAACAUCUUCAAGAAGAAUGAUAAAAUGUUAACACUUUUAUCUGACCUUGUAAUUAUGAGGGGAUUUGCAAAUAAGAAUCUAAACAAGAAGAAAAUAUGAAAAAGACAUUUGUACCAAUACCUUUGAUGUCAACAUGGUAGUGCUGGGUUGCCGUAUCCAACUUUGUAUUCUUAGAAGCCCUUAUGAACAGUUUUGAAAAAUUUCUGUGAAGAAUCGUAGACACUCUUGAGACAGCAAAGAGUAUGGCAAUAACCAAUGGAACAUAAGUAAAGAUGGAAUUUCAUGCAGCAAAGAGAAAUGGUGUGCCACACUGGGCAUAGCUUGAGUAGGAGAUUUCAGAGCCUGCCCCCACAGUGGCAUUAUUGCUCAAAAAAGGCCAGAUCUCCUGUGGACAGAGCACACGAGUUUAUGGUGGCCAUUCCUAUUAAACCACUGUACAUAAUGGCCUGAGUUCUGUUCCAGUUGCCACAGGUGGUGGCUCACUGCUACCUGCUACUCCAGCUCCAGGGCAAUGUGACACAUCUGGCCUCAGGCACUUGAAUGAAAUGCAUGUGCUCCUGGUGACAGACUUAAUGCACCUAACCUAAGUAGCACUGAAAGAGUGUAAUAAAAGGAUUGCCUGAAAAAAAUAGGUAAUUACUACAUUGGAUAGCAAGCAUUUUUACAACCUUCACAGUGCUCUGAAAGGUCUCAGAAGGUGUGUGGAAAUAGUCUUGCCAAUCAUUAAAAAUGAACUCAGCUAAUUGGAUAAAGACUUUGAAGACAAUCACUUCAUAUUUACAAAGACUUUCUGAUUGUUGUUGGACAAACCCAAGAACUGGAUACAGUGUUGCAUGGAUAAAAAUUAUAUUGUAGAAUUGAUAUUGGCUUCAUCUCAGUGAAAACUAUCCCCUGUAUGUAGUCAAAUUAUUUCUCAGAGUUGAUGCUUACAAUUAUUUGUCAAGUUGGACCAAAUGCACUUUUACUUUGAUUUGCAACACAUUUAAUAGAUUAAGUAGGAGAGAAUAGAUUUCUUUAAAAUUGAGCCUUCCUAUACAACCUCAAGGUGGUGAUCAUCUUGACUAACACAUCAAAUGUAUCUUCUGAAGAGUUUCAUCUACAGAGUCUCCUAAGUACAGUUUUAUAUUUAUUGUUUCUGCAGUAUUAUUUUGCUUUUAUUAUCUCACAACUUUUAAGAAAGACUGUCAAGGAAUAGAAAUGACCUGCUUUUGGCAAGUAAUUGCCUGGAAUGUUCAGUACUUCUGGUUUCAGUCUAUCUUGUACUCCUAUAUUAUAUGUUGCCAAUUAUCUUUUUUAUUUUACUUUGCAAAUAGAAGAGAGUUUUAUGUAUAGGUGGUAUAGGGAAUGAUACUUCAUAUUGUAACAAAGUUUUCUGACUGAGUCUCCCUGUAUUUCAGUUUUGUUAUCAUUUGUGAGAUGGUUUCCUCCUGCUUUGAACAAGAAACUCAAAAUUUUAGGCAGGUCGCAAAAAAAAAAAAAAAAAAAAAAAAGAUUUUUAUGUCAUGCGUAUUGGUAUUCUCUAUAGGAAAUUUUCUGGUUGUUGUUUUUGCUGAUAUUACUGGCUUCUAUCUGGUGCAGUAAUAUGAAUCUCUGUGGCUUGCUUUUUCUCCAAUAUCCAGAUUUCAGUGUCAUUGUAACUGUGAGUGUGUAGAGAAUUGUGCUUGCAUUGAUAAGGAGAGCUGAGGUGAUACUAUCUUGUAUAUUGUGUGGCAUAAUCAUUUUAUUGGUAUCACCUUUCAGGUUAGAGUAUCAAUGAGAUUUUAGUUUAUUUCAUAAUAUGGUGUUUUUCUCUUUCUGGUUAAACUAAGUAAGGUCAAUAUGAAGUACUGUUUAUUUUAUCUAUUAUUUGUCUGUUUCUAGACCAUAAGCCAUACUGUUCAUUAAAAAAGUACUGUCAGCAUUUCUCAGCCCAUUUCAAUAACUGUUAAGAGUAAAAAUAAUUGCUAGGAGUUUUUAAAGUGUGUAGGCAUGAAUGCCUGUAUGUGAGUGUGUGCCUGACAGAUGUCUGUAGAGGUCAGAAAUGAAAGUUAGAUCCCCUGGAUCUGAAGUUUCAGGUUAGCCAUGAUCACUCGGCCCCAGAUAUUUUAAGAUUGUGUAAAAAUUCUUUUCUCGAAGAAUUUUGUCGUUACUAACAUUAUUUAAUAGGGGCCAGCAAUAUGAAUCAAUGGAAAAAGGGGUUCUCCAUCCAAUCCUGGCAACUCCUAUUGGAUCACUGUAACCCAGGUUAUAUGUGGGAUAGGAUAUAGCAGUGAACAGACAACUUAAUAAAAUUGUUUUAAGUCUCAUAAAUUUGUAGUACAACCCAUGUGUUGUUACCUAUUAUAUUAUUACAUUUUAUAUUUCCAUUUUAGCUAG